This 765-nucleotide ribosomal RNA is filed under the name uncultured Campylobacterota bacterium. RNAcentral's name for it is "bacterial SSU rRNA". It matches the Rfam family "Bacterial small subunit ribosomal RNA", at positions 8 to 784 of the family's 1533-position model. The record is from RNAcentral. Lineage: Bacteria; Pseudomonadati; Campylobacterota.
AGAGUUUGAUCCUGGCUCAGAGUGAACGCUGGCGGCGUGCCUAACACAUGCAAGUCGAACGAGAACGGAUAUAAGUUUACUUAUAUUGUCAGCUAAGUGGCGCACGGGUGAGUAAUAUAUAGUUAAUCUGCCCCAAAGAAGAGAAUAAUUGUUGGAAACGACUUGUAAUGCUCUAUAUGCCUUUAAUACAAAAGUAUGCAAGGGAAAUAUUUAUAGCUUUGGGAUGAGACUGUACAGUAUCAGAUAGUUGGUGAGGUAAUGGCUCACCAAGUCAAUGACACUUAACUGGUUUGAGAGGAUGAUCAGUCACACUGGAACUGAGACACGGUCCAGACUCCUACGGGAGGCAGCAGUGGGGAAUAUUGCACAAUGGAGGAAACUCUGAUGCAGCAACGCCGCGUGGAGGAUGACACAUUUCGGUGCGUAAACUCCUUUUAUAUAAGAAGAUAAUGACGGUAUUAUAUGAAUAAGCACCGGCUAACUCCGUGCCAGCAGCCGCGGUAAUACGGGGGGUGCAAGCGUUACUCGGAAUCACUGGGCGUAAAGAGCAUGUAGGCUGGUAAUUAAGUUGGAAGUGAAAUCCUAUGGCUUAACCAUAGAACUGCUUCCAAAACUGAUUUGCCUAGAAUAUGGGAGAGGUAGAUGGAAUUUCUGGUGUAGGGGUAAAAUCCGUAGAGAUCAGAAGGAAUACCGAUUGCGAAGGCGAUCUACUGGAACAUUAUUGACGCUGAGAUGCGAAAGCGUGGGGAGCAACAGGAUUAGAUA